Molecule: non-coding RNA, 46 nt
Filed under: Schistosoma mattheei
Lineage: Eukaryota; Metazoa; Platyhelminthes; Trematoda; Strigeidida; Schistosomatidae
Source: RNAcentral
GCACUGCUGAGGAGUCGCAUGCUAGGACGAAACAGCUGUCCAGUGC